This is a non-coding RNA of Daphnia pulex (common water flea), 83 nucleotides long. The record is from Rfam. NCBI's taxonomy places the organism in Eukaryota, Metazoa, Arthropoda, Branchiopoda, Diplostraca, Daphniidae.
GGUCGUGUGACCUAAUGGAUAAGGCGUCGGUUUCUAUGAAAGUAGUUAUCCGAAAAUAGCGGGUUCGAGUCCCGCCACGAUUA